CUCAGUGCUCCGAGGACAGUGUAAGCUAGCUGCUAGCUUACACUGUCCUUGGAGCACUUGCU
This 62-nucleotide microRNA precursor is filed under the name Puccinia sorghi. RNAcentral describes it as "mir-449". The record is from RNAcentral. Lineage: Eukaryota; Fungi; Basidiomycota; Pucciniomycetes; Pucciniales; Pucciniaceae.